RNAcentral lists this ribosomal RNA (1002 nucleotides) under Kalmusia sarothamni. Its description in RNAcentral is "SSU rRNA". It matches the Rfam family "Eukaryotic small subunit ribosomal RNA", at positions 89 to 1100 of the family's 1831-position model. Lineage: Eukaryota; Fungi; Ascomycota; Dothideomycetes; Pleosporales; Didymosphaeriaceae. The record is from RNAcentral.
GCGAAUGGCUCAUUAAAUCAGUUAUCGUUUAUUUGAUAGUACCUUACUACUUGGAUAACCGUGGUAAUUCUAGAGCUAAUACAUGCUAAAAACCCCAACUUCGGGAGGGGUGUAUUUAUUAGAUAAAAAACCAAUGCCCUUCGGGGCUCCUUGGUGAUUCAUGAUAACUUCUCAGAUCGCAUAGCCUUGUGCUGGCGACGGUUCAUUCAAAUUUCUGCCCUAUCAACUUUCGAUGGUAAGGUAGUGGCUUACCAUGGUUUCAACGGGUAACGGGGAAUUAGGGUUCGAUUCCGGAGAGGGAGCCUGAGAAACGGCUACCACAUCCAAGGAAGGCAGCAGGCGCGCAAAUUACCCAAUUCCGAUGCGGAGAGGUAGUGACAAUAAAUACUGAUACAGGGCUCUUUUGGGUCUUGUAAUUGGAAUGAGUACAAUUUAAACCUCUUAACGAGGAACAAUUGGAGGGCAAGUCUGGUGCCAGCAGCCGCGGUAAUUCCAGCUCCAAUAGCGUAUAUUAAAGUUGUUGCAGUUAAAAAGCUCGUAGUUGAACCUUUGGCCUGGCUGGCAGGUCCGCCUCACCGCGUGCACUUGUCCGGCCGGGCCUUUUCUUCUGGAGAACCGCAUGCCCUUCACUGGGUGUGUUGGGGACCAGGACUUUUACUUUGAAAAAAUUAGAGUGUUCAAAGCAGGCCUUUGCUCGAAUACGUUAGCAUGGAAUAAUAGAAUAGGACGUGCGGUCCUAUUUUGUUGGUUUCUAGGACCGCCGUAAUGAUUAAUAGGGACAGUCGGGGGCAUCAGUAUUCAAUUGUCAGAGGUGAAAUUCUUGGAUUUAUUGAAGACUAACUACUGCGAAAGCAUUUGCCAAGGAUGUUUUCAUUAAUCAGUGAACGAAAGUUAGGGGAUCGAAGACGAUCAGAUACCGUCGUAGUCUUAACCAUAAACUAUGCCGACUAGGGAUCGGGCGGUGUUUCUAUUGUGACCCGCUCGGCACCUUACGAGAAAUCA